CCCGGUCCGAGACAGGUCAACAAUCGUGGAAGGCCCAGGAUGGUCGCUAUAACGUCUUUUUCGGCACAGUAACAAGGUCCAACGAUGAAUCUAACAUGGAAGACGCUCGAUCAGUGAGCUAUUACGCACUCUUUCAAGGGUUUUGUCUUGGCUCUCUUCUUUGACAAAUAGGACUUUGCUUAGAUGGUUUGGCACGCUUAGCUUUCGAUCGAGAAAGACGGGAAUUUGUGAAAGCGGGCUUAUUGCCCCAUGUCUUACCUAUAAAAAAAAGGCAGGAACUUAUUAGCACAGAUGACUUGCUUGCAUACCUUCUCCGAGAUAUGGAAAGGGGGUUCAGAUACAGGCUGGCAUUAAAG
Molecule: long non-coding RNA, 356 nt
Filed under: Nicotiana benthamiana
Lineage: Eukaryota; Viridiplantae; Streptophyta; Magnoliopsida; Solanales; Solanaceae
Description: long non-coding RNA (NBEN_LNC019595)
Source: RNAcentral